This 421-nucleotide ribosomal RNA is filed under the name uncultured bacterium. Its description in RNAcentral is "bacterial SSU rRNA". It matches the Rfam family "Bacterial small subunit ribosomal RNA", at positions 356 to 773 of the family's 1533-position model. The record is from RNAcentral.
GAGGAAUAUUGGUCAAUGGGCGGAAGCCUGAACCAGCCAUGCCGCGUGCGGGAAGGAGGCCCUAUGGGCUGUGAACCGCUUUUGCCUGGGGGCAAUAAGGGCGUCGUGCACGUCCGAUGAGAGUACCAGGCGAAUAAGCAUCGGCUAACUCCGUGCCAGCAGCCGCGGUAAUACGGGGGAUGCGAGCGUUAUCCGGAUUCAUUGGGUUUAAAGGGUGCGUAGGCUGUGCGUCAAGUCAGGGGUGAAAUUCCGGGGCUCAACUCCGGGGCUGCCCUUGAUACUGUCGCGCUGGAGUGCGGAUGCCGCCGGAGGAAUGAGUGGUGUAGCGGUGAAAUGCUUAGAUAUCACUCAGAACACCGAUUGCGAAGGCAUCUGGCGAAUCCGUAACUGACGCUGAGGCACGAAAGCGUGGGGAUAGAAC